RNAcentral lists this ribosomal RNA (425 nucleotides) under uncultured bacterium. RNAcentral's name for it is "partial 16S ribosomal RNA". It matches the Rfam family "Bacterial small subunit ribosomal RNA", at positions 354 to 796 of the family's 1533-position model. The record is from RNAcentral.
GUGGGGAAUAUUGGGCAAUGGGCGAAAGCCUGACCCAGCAACGCCGCGUGAAGGAAGAAGGUCUUCGGAUCGUAAACUUCUAUCCUUGGUGAAGAUAAUGACGGUAGCCGAGAAGGAAGCCCCGGCUAACUACGUGCCAGCAGCCGCGGUAAUACGUAGGGGGCAAGCGUUGUCCGGAAUGAUUGGGCGUAAAGGGCGCGUAGGCGGCCUGGUAAGUCUGGAGUGAAAGUCCUGCUUUUAAGGUGGGAAUUGCUUUGGAUACUGUCGGGCUUGAGUGCAAGAGAGGUAAGUGGAAUUCCCGGUGUAGCGGUGAAAUGCGUAGAGAUCGGGAGGAACACCAGUGGCGAAGGCGACUUACUGGACUGUAACUGACGCUGAGGCGCGAAAGUGUGGGGAGCAAACAGGAUUAGAAACCCUGGUAGUCC